AGCCUGAACGCUGGCGGCGUGGCUAAGACAUGCAAGUCGCACGCAUCGCAGCAAUGCGGUGAGUGGCGGACGGGUGAGUAACGUAUCGCUAACGUACCCCUUUGUCCGGGAUAGCCGAGGGAAACUUCGGGUAAUACCGGUUGACAUCACUCCGAGGCAUCUCGGGGUGCUCAAAGGCGAAAGCCGCUGAGGGGAGCGGGGCGAGUGACCGGUAUCAAGUCGUAGUUGGUGGGGUAACGGCCCACCAAGGCGACGACGCGUAGCCGGACUGAGAGGUUGGCCGGCCACAUUGGGACUGAGACACUGCCCAGACUCCUACGGGGGGCUGCAGUAACGAAUCUUCCGCAAUGCACGCAAGUGUGACGGAGCGACGCCGCGUGUGGGACGAAGCCCCUCGGGGUGUAAACCACUGUCAGGGGCAGCCAAGAACUGAGGCGCCCCAGAGGAAGGCACGGCUAACUCUGUGCCAGCAGCCGC
Molecule: ribosomal RNA, 477 nt
Filed under: uncultured bacterium
Lineage: Bacteria
Description: SSU rRNA
Rfam family: Bacterial small subunit ribosomal RNA
Source: RNAcentral